CGGGCUGUAUGAAAAAUGCUAAAAUAAUUUAGCUGCUCAGACCCAAACGAUCAAGAAAGGAUCCCAGACUUGCUCCGUCUAUGCGCCCUGAACCUGAAGAUAGAGACCCCAGCUAAGACCUAUUUAGUUUAGUUGCCUCGGGUGAGCUGAACUACCAGAACUAGUUCUUUACAACUCGUGCCCCGGAGCCCUCUAUCUAGAAUAGCUCUCUCUAGAUUUUCCA
Molecule: long non-coding RNA, 223 nt
Filed under: Oryza brachyantha (malo sina)
Lineage: Eukaryota; Viridiplantae; Streptophyta; Magnoliopsida; Poales; Poaceae
Description: long non-coding RNA (OBRA_LNC003654)
Source: RNAcentral